This 451-nucleotide ribosomal RNA is filed under the name uncultured bacterium. Its description in RNAcentral is "partial 16S ribosomal RNA". It matches the Rfam family "Bacterial small subunit ribosomal RNA", at positions 29 to 523 of the family's 1533-position model. The record is from RNAcentral.
AGCGAACGCUGGCGGCAGGCUUAACACAUGCAAGUCGAACGCUCGUAGCAAUACGGGAGUGGCAGACGGGUGGGUAACGCGUGGGAAUAUGCCUUUUGGUUCGGAAUAACUCAGGGAAACUUGAGCUAAUGCCGGAUAAGCCCGUGAGGGGAAAGAUUUAUCGCCAAAAGAUUGGCCCGCGUCCGAUUAGCUAGUUGGUGAGGUAAUGGCUCACCAAGGCGACGAUCGGUAGCUGGUCUGAGAGGAUGAUCAGCCACAUUGGGACUGAGACACGGCCCAAACUCCUACGGGAGGCAGCAGUGGGGAAUAUUGGACAAUGGGCGCAAGCCUGAUCCAGCCAUGCCGCGUGAAUGAUGAAGGCCUUAGGGUUGUAAAGCUCUUUUGUCCGGGAAGAUAAUGACGGUACCGGAAGAAUAAGCCCCGGCUAACUUCGUGCCAGCAGCCGCGGUAA